AUGUUAGCGGCGGACGGGUGAGUAACACGUGGGUAACCUACCUAUAAGACUGGGAUAACUCCGGGAAACCGGGGCUAAUACCGGAUAAUAUUUUGAACCGCAUGGUUCGAUAGUGAAAGACGGUUUCGGCUGUCACUUAUAGAUGGACCCGCGCCGUAUUAGCUAGUUGGUAAGGUAACGGCUUACCAAGGCGACGAUACGUAGCCGACCUGAGAGGGUGAUCGGCCACACUGGAACUGAGACACGGUCCAGACUCCUACGGGAGGCAGCANCC
This 274-nucleotide ribosomal RNA is filed under the name uncultured Staphylococcus sp. RNAcentral describes it as "partial 16S ribosomal RNA". It matches the Rfam family "Bacterial small subunit ribosomal RNA", at positions 89 to 353 of the family's 1533-position model. The record is from RNAcentral. Lineage: Bacteria; Bacillati; Bacillota; Bacilli; Caryophanales; Staphylococcaceae.